RNAcentral lists this transfer RNA (75 nucleotides) under Patescibacteria group bacterium. RNAcentral describes it as "tRNA-Thr". It matches the Rfam family "tRNA". From Rfam's summary of the family: Transfer RNA (tRNA) molecules are approximately 80 nucleotides in length. The record is from RNAcentral.
GCCGGUGUAGCUCAGUGGUAGAGCAAUCGCUUUGUAAGCGAAAGGUCGCGGGUUCAAAUCCCAUCACCGGCUCCA